GGGGGGGGGGGGCGGCGGGCGUGGCGCGUGCGAGUCGAGCGGGAGGGCCCGGCUUGUGUGGGGUGCUCGGGUGGCGCACGGGUGAGUAACACGUGAGUCACCUGCCCUUGACUUUGGGCUCACUUCAGGACACUGGGGCUCAUACCGGAUCGGAGCUCCUGCUGCAUGGUGGGGGUUGGAAAGUUUCGGCGGUUGGGGAUGGCCUCGCGGCUUCUCAGCUUGUUGGUGGGGUAGUGGCUUACCAAGGCCUUGACGGGUAGCCGGCCUGAGAGGGUGACCGGCCACAUUGGGACUGAGAUACGGGCCAGACUCCGACGGGAGGCAGCAGUGGGGAAUAUUGCACAAUGGGCGGAAGCCUGAUGCAGCAACGCCGCGUGCGGGAUGACGGCCUUCGGGUUGUAAACCGCUUUCGCCUGUGACGAAGCGUGAGUGACGGUAAUGGGUAAAGAAGCACCGGCUAACUACGUG
Molecule: ribosomal RNA, 468 nt
Filed under: uncultured bacterium
Lineage: Bacteria
Description: partial 16S ribosomal RNA
Rfam family: Bacterial small subunit ribosomal RNA
Source: RNAcentral